UAAGCGGAGGAGAAGAAACUAACCAGGAUUUCCCUAGUAACGGCGAGCGAACCGGAAAGAGCCCAGCUUGAAAAUCGCGUGGCCCCGCCCCGCGAAUUGUAGUCUGGAGAAGCGUCCUCUGCAACGGACCGGGCCCAAGUUCCCUGGAACGGGACGUCUUGGAAGGUGAGAACCCUGUAGAGUUCGGACCCUGUUGCUCCACGAGGCGCUGUCUGCGAGUCGGGCUGUUUGGGAAUGCAGCCCUAAGCGGGAGGUAAAUUCCUUCCAAGGCUAAAUACAGGCGAGAGACCGAUAGCGAACAAGUACCGCGAGGGAAAGAUGAAAAGGACUUUGAAAAGAGAGUUAAAGAGUGCUUGAAAUUGCUGGGAGGGAAGCGAAUGGAAGCUGCGGGUGCGCCUCGGUUGGAUGCGGAACGGCGGUUCGCUGGUCCGCCGCUCAACGCGGGGCGCUGGUCAGCGUGGGCCGCCGCGGCGGGACAAGAGCGGUCUGCCCUUCCAGGGCAGCCCCGCCUAUGCCGUUGCGGCGGCCGAGGGACGAAGCGCGCGGCCCCCUCCUCGGGGGGGGCCGGGCCCCCAAAGGGCACCUGCGCGCUCGGGACGCUGGCGCAUUGAGCUCUCCAUCCGACCCGUCUUGAAACACGGACCAAGGAGUCUAACAUGUAUGCGAGCCGGUGGGCGGCAAACCCAUUGAGGCGCAAGGAACCUGACAGGUGGGAUCCCCUCCUCGCGGGGGGGAGCACCAUCGACCGACCGUGAUCUUCUGUGAAAGGUUUGAGUGAGAGCAUACCUGCUGGGACCCGAAAGAUGGUGAACUAUGCCUGAGCAGGGCGAAGCCAGAGGAAACUCUGGUGGAGGCUCGUAGCGAUACUGACGUGCAAAUCGUUCGUCAGACUUGGGUAUAGGGGCGAAAGACUAAUCGAACCAUCUAGUAGCUGGUUCCCUCCGAAGUUUCCCUCAGGAUAGCUGGAGCUCGCGAAAGUUUUAUCAGGUAAAGCGAAUGAUUAGAGGCAUCGGGGGUGUAACACCCUCGACCUAUUCUCAAACUUUAAAUAGGUAAGCGGCCGGGGUUGCUCGGUUGAACCCCGGCGUUUUGAAUGAGAGCUCCAAGUGGGCCAU
This 1115-nucleotide ribosomal RNA is filed under the name Pogonatum brachyphyllum. RNAcentral describes it as "eukaryotic LSU rRNA". It matches the Rfam family "Eukaryotic large subunit ribosomal RNA", at positions 47 to 1134 of the family's 3401-position model. The record is from RNAcentral. Lineage: Eukaryota; Viridiplantae; Streptophyta; Polytrichopsida; Polytrichales; Polytrichaceae.